GGUAGACUGUCAAUUUUACCUUUGUUCAUCUGCAGAUACAGCGUGUUCUUGGCGUUGUCUCUGGAGAUGGUGAAUCGGCCCUUCACGGAAUCUGCGUAGUAUGUGCCACUUCCAUCAGUAUCAAUCCGUCAGACCCACUGCAGCCCCUUCCCUGGAGCCUGGCGGACCCCGUUCAUGCUGGAACUACUGAAGGUGAAUCCAGAGGCUACAACGGAACGUGUAUAUACUGAGAAUCCUUGAGAGAAAGUCGUGGAGUUGAUGAAGAAGCUGUGGGGUUGCGACAACUACAAGAGUCUUUACGCAUGCUCUCUCUUCAUGGGCAUCAAAGGGAAACCUUAAGGAAAAUAAAAGGAGAGAGGAGCUGCUCAAAUAUAUUAAGUUUAGAUCACUUGAAUGAGUCAGUCUCCUCUGUUUGAAAAUCACUUACAUCUAUUUUAAAUGGUGGCCCGUGUACUUGUGAGGCACAGGUCUGAUCAUAUGAGAGUUAAUUUAUCCCCGAGCUUGGUCUCUGUCAAGGUCGGCACUACUAUAUGACUGUUCACUCUAAAUGUUAGAAGACAUCUGUGUUUGUAAAUGGUUUAGGAAACAGUGUGUACUGUUUGCUGGUCAGGUUGAAGU
Molecule: long non-coding RNA, 618 nt
Organism: Neofelis nebulosa (Clouded leopard)
Lineage: Eukaryota; Metazoa; Chordata; Mammalia; Carnivora; Felidae
Exons: 3
Source: RefSeq, a predicted model, not a curated record